RNAcentral lists this long non-coding RNA (233 nucleotides) under Elaeis guineensis (African oil palm). RNAcentral's name for it is "long non-coding RNA (EGUI_LNC006001)". Lineage: Eukaryota; Viridiplantae; Streptophyta; Magnoliopsida; Arecales; Arecaceae. The record is from RNAcentral.
GGUCGUGGAAGGUCUGCUCCUCCUUGAGGUCUUUCGAUGAUGGAGUUGAUGGUCCCGAUUGGAGGUCGAUCUCCGGGCAGCUCUUCCCUCCUUGGCGGUUCAGGUUGCGGCAGGGUCCUUGGCCGAUCCUCUCUGCCUUCAGGUCGGCGUCGAAUGAACCUAUCGAGCCGAUCUCGUCUGAUGAGCUCCUCGAUCUCAUCCCGGAGCUGAAUGCACUCCUCUGUAUCGUGGCC